This 466-nucleotide ribosomal RNA is filed under the name uncultured bacterium. RNAcentral describes it as "bacterial SSU rRNA". It matches the Rfam family "Bacterial small subunit ribosomal RNA", at positions 338 to 795 of the family's 1533-position model. The record is from RNAcentral.
CCUACGGGUGGCACCAGUGGGGAAUCUUGGGCAAUGGGCGCAAGCCUGACCCAGCGACGCCGCGUGUGGGAAGAAGGCCUUCGGGUCGUAAACCACUGUCAGGAGGGAAGAAAAGCAGUCGCCGAACAGGCGGCUGUCUUGACGGUACCUCCAGGAGGAAGCACCGGCCAACUCCGUGCCAGCGGCCGCGGUAAUACGGAGGGUGCAAGCGUUAUUCGGAAUCACUGGGCGUAAAGGGCGCGUAGGCGGCUGCGCAAGUCAGAUGUGAAAGCCCUCGGCUCACCCGGGGAACUGCAUCUGAAACUGCGUAGCUAGAGUUCGGGAGAGGGCGGCGGAAUUCCCGGUGUAGGGGUGAAAUCCGUAGAUAUCGGGAAGAACACCAGAGGCGAAGGCGGCCGCCUGGACCGAAACUGACGCUGAGGCGCGAAAGCGUGGGUAGCAAACAGGAUUAGAUACCCUGGUAGUC